UACGGAGGGUGCAAGCGUUGUCCGGAAUCAUUGGGUGUAAAGGGUGCGCAGGCGGACUGCUAAGUCUGGGGUGAAAGGCCACGGCUCAACCGUGGAAGGUCCCUGGAUACUGGUGGUCUUGAAUAUGAGACAGGCCGGUGGAAUUCGAGGUGUAGCGGUGAAAUGCAUAGAUAUCUCGAAGAACACCAGUGGUGAAGACGGCCGGCUGGAUCAUUAUUGACGCUCAGGCACGAGAGCGUGGGGAGCAAACAGGAUUAGAUACCCUGGUAGUCCACGCCGUAAACGAUGGAUACUAGGUGUCGUGGCUUUCGGGCUGCGGUACCGCAGCUAACGCGUUAAGUAUCCCACCUGGGGAGUACGCCCGCAAGGGUGAA
This 374-nucleotide ribosomal RNA is filed under the name uncultured bacterium. RNAcentral describes it as "bacterial SSU rRNA". It matches the Rfam family "Bacterial small subunit ribosomal RNA", at positions 524 to 898 of the family's 1533-position model. The record is from RNAcentral.